Molecule: long non-coding RNA, 1889 nt
Organism: Syngnathus typhle (broad-nosed pipefish)
Lineage: Eukaryota; Metazoa; Chordata; Actinopteri; Syngnathiformes; Syngnathidae
Exons: 2
Source: RefSeq, a predicted model, not a curated record
UCCAACUGCUACCUCAAGCCCAGAGGGGAAGAUGAUUUUUCAUUUUAUUUUAUUUUUUCUAAAAGGGGGGGGGAAAAAGGAACCAGAAACAGUUAGAUCAAGGCAGUGGUCAGGGUGGUGGCGCAAAAGAAAACUACUUUUUUUUUUUUUGAAAUAACAUGAUUAAGAUUGCUUGGAGUGCGGCCUGUUGCCAUGAGUUACCUUCAAAACAGUGCUGCUUGGCAAUAAGGACAAAGAGUGUUCCACUUUUUUUUAACGGAACUUUGCCGGCAAUGAAAGUUGCCGUUGCCUCGACUCGAACAAAAAAAAAAAUACAUUCAGUCUUCUGCAAACCAGGUGGCUUAUUCUGGAUAGUCCAAAGGGCAGAAGGGAAAAAAAUUCCUUGGACAAAAAACAGAUUGUCUCACUGUGAGAGGAAACUGGAUCGGACCAAUCUACUGCGGUGCGCAGUUGAUGCGUGGCGCGCGGAAAACGACGCCAAGAAACGAAAACCGCCACGACUUAAUGACACAGGCCGGCUGUGGGCGAGGAGCACGAUUUGGUCUCGGGGAGGAUGGGCUGAUUUAGUCUUUGAGCGGCAGAAGACUGAAGGUGUCCCCAAGCAGCUACUCUCAGUGGUCUCCCGCACACUUCAAGCAAAUCAAGACGACAGCGAAAACCCGCUAACAAAGUGACAGUCAGCAACCACAAAAAACAAGAGAAGAUGAAGUGAUUCUUUUCUUCCCCAUGAAACUGCUCAUGAGGCUUUUAUCAUGAGUGCGAAAAUACUCAACUGUUUUGCGUAGUUUACUAGAGAGACCCUGACAAAAUGUCAUAUGGACAUUCAUCUAGUCUAAAUAAUGAUAGGACUAAAAGUUGGAAUACUUUCCUUCAGUUGUGAGAGGAGACAAAACAUUAACUCCCACACAUUUGAUUCUUUCUGUACAGAUGUCGAAUUGAAGUUAGAUAAUGUUUGACUCAUUUGUUUCCCCUCAUUGUGCAGUAAUGCGCUUUAUAACCAAGUGCACCCUAUAAAAAUAAUUUUUCAGAAAUAGACCCAUUGAUUGAGACUGCACCUUAUAAAUUCGGUGCGCCUUAUAGUCCGAAAAAUACGGUACACAAAAAUUACUUUUGUAUCAUGUUUAUGAUGGCUGGGGAACGAGUGCCAAAACAAUAGAAAUUUAAUUUAAUCCGAUUUUUUCCCCCAUUUAUUUUCUUAGGGAAUAAUGAAUAAUAAUAAAUCUUCAGAUGACACAUUUCUCAAAACCCUCAAAAGUUAAACCAUGAACUGAGUGCCAUUGAUUGAAGGAAUAUUACUGCCUCUAAAAAGCCUCUGUCAGCUGUUACAAGCGUGCAAGUCGAGACAGGUCAUGACUAACGACACUGCGUUGGUGGCGAUGAGAAACGAAAAAACAUUUAGUCUCCUCUGUGUUAAAGAGAACUGAAACCUUCCAAAAUAAAAAGCUUGCAAAACUUAAACUAGCAGCGGGAUCACCUUAGGUUUACAGGGAUCAUCAAGUCUGACGCCCGCUAUUUUCGGUCACACUAAACACCGUCACAACAGAGCACCGUCAUUACCAAACAUGUAAACAGUGUUUAAGCACGCGUCAAGUUUGCAGCUCAUGCAGCGUAGUAUCAAAACGACUAUAUUUGAUAUAUUUCAGUGACACUAAAAAUGCUGUCACAUGUAUGCCAGGCCAAUAGUUGGCGAUGUCAUAAAAUAACAAAAUUACAAAUGUAGAAAGUAUUAUAAACUGUGUUUGGAAUACCCUUUUAAGGUGUAUAAGUGAGUUUAAAUUUUGACGCAUGUCAAUAAAAUGACUGAUGGAGACGCUUAAUUACACAGCUAUUGUUGUUUUGGUUGCUUACUGACUUACAAAAGCCAAGAAACUAAUUUUCACUGAUUUUUU